This 317-nucleotide ribosomal RNA is filed under the name uncultured archaeon. Its description in RNAcentral is "partial 16S ribosomal RNA". It matches the Rfam family "Archaeal small subunit ribosomal RNA", at positions 149 to 467 of the family's 1478-position model. The record is from RNAcentral.
AUACUGGAUAGGCAAUUUUUCCUGUAAUGGUUUUUUGUUUAAAUGUUUUUUCGCCUAAGGAUGGGUCUGCGGCCGAUUAGGUAGUUGGUUAGGUAAUGGCUUACCAAGCCGUUGAUCGGUACGGGUUGUGAGAGCAAGAGCCCGGAGAUGGAACCUGAGACAAGGUUCCAGGCCCUACGGGGUGCAGCAGGCGCGAAACCUCCGCAAUGUGAGAAAUCGCGACGGGGGGAUCCCAAGUGCCAUUCUUAACGGGAUGGCUUUUCAUUAUGUAAAAAGCUUUUGGAAUAAGAGCUGGGCAAGACCGGUGCCAGCCGCCG